UUUUUUUUUUUUUUUUUUGAAAGAGCAACCAACCAGAAGAAAAGAAGAGACCACUCACUGCCACUAAACAGAUUUCAGGCGAGGCCACAGACUAUUGACAUUUUGAAACCCUGUCGAUUUGUUCUAAACUCUGUGCCAUGUUACAUAUGCUAAUUAUGCAGGAAAAAUUACAGCAGAAAGAUGUGCUCUGAAAAUUAGCCCAGGCUGAAAACUCUCUUCCUUGGCCAUACUCUGACCUCUUAGGUCACUACCCAAAAUACAAAGGGCAAGUCAUCACCCCCUUAAUGAGAAAGUAGGAUGUAGACUCUUUAUGAAAAAACCUCCAGAAGUAAGCAGCUGAUGCUGUCACCCAAGCAUUGGUUUUAUUUAUUUUUAAUUUUUUAAAUUUUUAUCAUUACUCAAUGCAUUUAUUAUAGUUAUCAUCACAAUCCAAUUUUAUAGGAUUUCCAACCCACACCCCCAGUGCAUCCCCUCACCCCCCAAACUGUGUCCUUUGGAGACCAGAACUUUUUCAAAGUCUGUGAGACGAUCCAUUCUGCAAAGAAGUUCACUGUGUCCUUUUUUCAGAUUCCACGUGUCAGUGAAAGCAUUUGAUGUUGGUGUCUCAUUGUCUAGCUGACUCCACUUAGCAUGAUAGUUUCUAGGUCCAUCCAUGUUGCUACAAAUGCCGGUAUUUCGUUCCUUUUAAUGGCUGAGUAAUAUUCCACUGUGUCUAUGUACCACAUCGUCUUGGUCCACUCCUCUGUCGAUGGACAUUGAGGUUGUUUCCAUGUCCUGGCUCUUGAAAAUAGCCCAAACGCUGGUUUUAAAUUGGUCACUUGUUACUCAAAGUCAGUUGUGCUAUAACGCUUUAUUCACUUAAGAGUCAAGAAGUGAUAUCCGGAGGAGGGGUGUGUCUGUCCCAAGCCUAGAAAGCCCUUCCAAUCAGUCACUACCUUUUGAAUCACAUCAGUCAUUCAGAAUAUCUUUUUUUUUCUUUACCAAAUUUUUAACAAUUUUAUUUUUAUUAGAAUUUAGCUGAUUUACAGUGUUGUGUCAAUUUCUGUUAUAUGGCAUAUGCCCCAGGCAUACAUAUGUAUAUAUUCCUUUUCUCAUAUUAAUUUCCAUCAUUCCAUCCCAAGAGAUGGGAUAUAUAUGAGAAUUUCUAUUUGCACCCAUGUUGCUGCAAAUGGUAUUAUUUUGUUCUUUUUUAUGGCUGAGUAGUAUUCCAUCAUGUAUAUGUGCCACAUCUUCUUAAUCCAUUCAUCUGUUGAUGGACAUUUAGGUCGUUUCCAUGUUUUGGCUAUUGUGAGCAGUGCUGCAAUGAAUAUAGGAGUGCAUGUAUCUUUUUGAUAUUUUUGCUUUUUGGGGUUUGGGGGUACACACCUGCAGCAUAUGGAAGUUCCCAG
Molecule: long non-coding RNA, 1388 nt
Filed under: Sus scrofa (pig)
Lineage: Eukaryota; Metazoa; Chordata; Mammalia; Artiodactyla; Suidae
Description: lncRNA (ENSSSCG00015045456.1)
Source: RNAcentral